Schizosaccharomyces pombe (fission yeast) is the source of this 201-nucleotide non-coding RNA. NCBI's taxonomy places the organism in Eukaryota, Fungi, Ascomycota, Schizosaccharomycetes, Schizosaccharomycetales, Schizosaccharomycetaceae. The record is from the annotation of a GenBank genome assembly.
AAACUGAUAACUUGUCGAGAGUAGUGUUUCUCUCUUCAGCCAUGCGAACUGCGGAUCCCGAAAUAUGAUGAGUUUGGCGAAAUGGAAGACCUUUACGAACAAGAUACUCAGCCAAAUCGGUAGCUAGUAAAUCGGGGGUCAAGCUUUCGGCAAUCUUUGUAGGAUUGAUGGUAAGGGUUGAGACAACGCCAGUCAAAAUUU